UUUUUACUCUCCUUCUUUCUCAAGCUUCGUCAUUCUACACAAACCCUAAAACCAAAGUUGUUCAUCAGGUUCUUUCGUUCAAUAAUCCUUCGUCGCCGCUUUCAUUCUUCGUUGUGGCGAUCAGAGGUUUGAUAAAUGUUCAAUUCCCCACAAACCCUAAAACUAAAGACGCCAUUCAUCUUUAAUCGUUUUUCGUCGAUUCAAGUUUGAUAAACAAAGAUUUUCAAUCAAAUCUUUGUUGAUUCCGAUGGUGCCGUCGUCAAAGAAGAUAAGUGCACCGGUGAGGAAUUGUUUUGGAACGAUCGGACGGGAAUGUGUGAUUAAGGCGUAUCACUUUCUUGUGGAUCUAGGUCAAAAGGAUGAAAAAUCUCAGGGAAUGAUGUAAUAUUUUGGCUCGUAGAUAAAUAUGGGAUCAACGAUGUUAAUGAUGCUACUAAGUAUUACAAGAUAGUUGUUGAGCGUGGGUUCACAAGAGGACGAAUAACGGCACAAGUUGCAGUUGCUUACCUCUAUGUUGUGUGUCGGUAAGUGAUUACUAAUAUUCCAGUUUUGAUUUAUUUUUUUUGGUUUUAACAAGUGAUGAUAGCUUCUUGGUACAAAUCAAUCUAAUUAUAUAGAAGAUUACAAAUUGGAUCAACUGCCAUGAUUGGAAGUACGUUGGUAUGUAUGUAAUAAAACCAUUCUUUUUCCCGUUUCUUCAUAUAUCAGAGUAUAGGAUAUAUUGUAUUCUACUUGUUGAAGUUGUAAUCUUUUAAAGUUAUAUUCUGAGUUUAACUUGAAAAACGAACACGUAAUCAAUCAGACCAGUUGCUUUGGUUUAUAACUUGGGUGUAAGGGGCAUUUAUGAAUGUAACUAUCAGUGUAAGCAUACAAUGGAAUUACGACACCUUUGGUAGAAAGAUGAAGGCUGUUGGAGCAAGUGAUCAUGGAGUGAGAUUGAAGCCAACUCUUAACUUACUAACAAAAACAAAUGUCAAUUUCAUAUUUACCAAAAGAUCAUCAUCAGUUAUGGAGUGGUUGGAGAUGAAGUGAUGAUGAUAGUGAUGGUUUCCGGUGACCGAACGACCGGAAUGAAAGCAGUGGUGAUGGUCGAUAGUGGUGGUUGCGGUUCAAGUUGGUGACGGUGAUGGUCGAUAGUGGUUUUUUUAAUUAAUAUUUUGAGGAUUGUUGGAAGGAGGUUUGUUAAGGUGAGUUCUAUUGGAGUGACCUAUGGUUGAGGUGUUUUGUGAGUUUGGGAGGGAAUUCAUUCCCAAAGCUCAAUACAUAAAUAAACAUACAUUGGACGCGGAAUCCGUUUUGAUGUCGGGUUAUCUUAUACCCGUUCAUUCGGAUCUAUAUAAAAGGCACUACCCAGUAAUUCAGACCACUUUCUUUCCUGUUCCCUCUAAACCCUGGCCGACAACUUCAUCGUAUUCUUUGUUCUUCUUUGCUAAUCUGCCCUCUCAAUUCGAAGAUGAAGAUGAGCAUCAGUCUUGAUGUAAACUCCAUGGCGUCCAGGCUAACAAGAGAUCUGGGCACUCCAAAUAAGUGAGACAGGCAAGAGUAAGACAGCCGCAAAUAUCUUUUUUCGUGCUCACAUGAAUUGGAACCUUUAGUUAUGUUUUUGGAUGAUAUUAUUUUUUUGUUUAAUUUUAUAGUUCAUUUUUAGUUUUGUAAAUCAUGAAGAAUAAGAGCCUUUUAACAGCUGCUUAAUAACCCAUUUUCUCAAGUGUUGUUGGUGCUGGUAUAUUUGCUUUAAGAAGUAUUGGUUAGAAAUUGGAAGGAUAUAUGCUCGGUUCUGAAAGACGCUGUCAAAGUUGGAGUAGGUGGGGAAGAAAAGUUGGGGGACAAAGCGCGGAUGGAGAGGGAAAAAAAUUCUUAGUCACUCAGUUUAUAAAUGAGGCGGCAAAUCGGAUCCGGAACAAGGUGGCGGCUGAAGAUUUUAGAUGGAACCUAUGAGUUCUAAAAGAGGUCCUUUUCUUUAUCUGGAAGCUCGUGCAGGGCUGCAUCGCUGAAAAAAUUGUGCUUCUGCAGCGUGGGGUUUCUAUUAUGUUAACGAGAGUUUUGCCUAUUGAGGAGAGACUCGGAACUUUGGAAGUGAUGGGUUCAAAAGCAUCUCAGCUCAUAUAAAAGAUAUUACAUCCAGUUAUGAAGCAGUUUGCUCCAGAAGAUGGUUUGGUUUCUUUGAUGGUUUGCUCUAGAUCUUGUGAUAACGAGUUUAAUUUGUUACAUCCUAUGGAUAUUGUUGGCAAAACGAAAGAGCAUACUUCUCUCCUGAAAGGGUCACCGUGGUUUCCAUAUGCACCCAAUAACAAAUUCAAUUUGGCAGGUGGCAGGAUACUGAGUUUCCUGUGACAUAAAGAGACCGUCUAGGUCUUCGAAGAAGAGCAAAACAAUUUACUUAAACAUAUGGAGAAAAGAGACACGAAAUAUAUGCGCCUUCAGAGGCAUAAAAUGGGUGCCGAUGAUUUUGAGCCAUUAACAAUGAUAGGAAAAAGGUCCAUUUGGAGAGGUUAGAAUAUGUAGGGAGAAGACUACCGGCAAUGUGUAUGCAAUGAAAAAACUUAAAAAAGUCUGAAAUGCUUCGUAGAGGACAGGUUGAACAUGUGAAAGCAAAAAGAAAUCUACUU
RNAcentral lists this long non-coding RNA (2609 nucleotides) under Helianthus annuus (common sunflower). The record is from RNAcentral. Lineage: Eukaryota; Viridiplantae; Streptophyta; Magnoliopsida; Asterales; Asteraceae.